UACGAAGGGAGCUAGCGUUGUUCGGAAUCACUGGGCGUAAAGCGCACGUAGGCGGAUUUGUCAGUCAGGGGUGAAAUCCCGGGGCUCAACCUCGGAACUGCCUUUGAUACAGCAAGUCUUGAGUUCGAGAGAGGUGGGUGGAAUUCCUAGUGUAGAGGUGAAAUUCGUAGAUAUUAGGAAGAACACCGGUGGCGAAGGCGGUCCACUGGCUCGAUACUGACGCUGAGGUGCGAAAGCGUGGGGAGCAAACAGG
Molecule: ribosomal RNA, 253 nt
Filed under: uncultured bacterium
Lineage: Bacteria
Description: partial 16S ribosomal RNA
Rfam family: Bacterial small subunit ribosomal RNA
Source: RNAcentral